UACAGUAGUGAAUGCAAGUCGCUCUGGAUAAGAGCGUCUGCUAAAUUACUAAAA
Non-coding RNA from Salmo salar (Atlantic salmon), 54 nucleotides. Lineage: Eukaryota; Metazoa; Chordata; Actinopteri; Salmoniformes; Salmonidae. The record is from Rfam.